RNAcentral lists this ribosomal RNA (440 nucleotides) under uncultured bacterium. Its description in RNAcentral is "partial 16S ribosomal RNA". It matches the Rfam family "Bacterial small subunit ribosomal RNA", at positions 338 to 795 of the family's 1533-position model. The record is from RNAcentral.
CCUACGGGGGGCAGCAGUGGGGGAUAUUGCACAAUGGGGGGAACCCUGAUGCAGCGACGCCGCGUGGGUGAAGAAGCGCCUCGGCGCGUAAAGCCCUGUCAGCAGGGAAGAAAAUGACGGUACCUGAAGAAGAAGCCCCGGCUAACUCCGUGCCAGCAGCCGCGGUAAUACGUAGGGGGCAAGCGUUAUCCGGAUUUACUGGGUGUAAAGGGGGCGCAGACGGCGAUGCAAGCCAGGAGUGAAAGCCCGGGGCUCAACCCCGGGACUGCUCUUGGAACUGCGUGGCUGGAGUGCAGGAGGGGCAGGCGGAAUGCCUGGUGUAGCGGUGAAAUGCGUAGAGAUCAGGAGGAACACCGGUGGCGAAGGCGGCUUGCUGGACUGCAACUGACGUUGAGGCACGAAAGCGUGGGGAGCAAACAGGAUUAGAUACCCCUGUAGUC